UGGGGAAUUUUGGACAAUGGGGGCAACCCUGAUCCAGCAAUGCCGCGUGUGUGAAGAAGGCCUUCGGGUUGUAAAGCACUUUUGUCCGGAAAGAAAACGUCGUGGUUAAUACCCGUGGCGGCUGACGGUACCGGAAGAAUAAGCACUGGCUAACUACGUGCCAGCAGCCGCGGUAAUACGUAGGGUGCAAGCGUUAAUCGGAAUUACUGGGCGUAAAGCGUGCGCAGGCGGUCCGCUAAGACAGAUGUGAAAUCCCCGGGCUUAACCUGGGAACUGCAUUUGUGACUGGCGGGCUAGAGUAUGGCAGAGGGGGGUAGAAUUCCACGUGUAGCAGUGAAAUGCGUAGAGAUGUGGAGGAAUACCGAUGGCGAAGGCAGCCCCCUGGGCCAAUACUGACGCUCAUGCACGAAAGCGUGGGGAGCAAACAGGAUUAGAUACCCUGGUAGUCCACGCCCUAAACGAUGUCAACUAGUUGUCGGGUCUUCAUUGACUUGGUAACGUAGCUAACGCGUGAAGUUGACCGCCUGGGGAGUACGGUCGCAAGAUUAAAACUUAAAUGAAUUGACGGGGGUCAUAGCUGUUUCCUG
Molecule: ribosomal RNA, 587 nt
Filed under: uncultured bacterium
Lineage: Bacteria
Description: partial 16S ribosomal RNA
Rfam family: Bacterial small subunit ribosomal RNA
Source: RNAcentral